Molecule: long non-coding RNA, 389 nt
Organism: Vigna radiata var. radiata (mung bean)
Lineage: Eukaryota; Viridiplantae; Streptophyta; Magnoliopsida; Fabales; Fabaceae
Exons: 3
Source: RefSeq, a predicted model, not a curated record
UAUGCCACUUUGAAACUCAAUACGAAUGUUGGCAUGCAUGGAGUGGUGCAGUCAUUGUUGCAGGGUUUGCCCCACCAGAUUGGAACCCAUCUAUGGUGACAUUUCCGUCGAUUCUUGCAGUGUCUGCAAUUUAUGUGGAAAGGUUCUGUUAGAUUUGGACGCAUCGCUUCACGUGAUACUUCCAGACAAGAAUGCUGAUAAAAGUUCCAAAAUCAGAAACGACAAGAAUGUACAACCUCAAAAACAAGAAACAUAGAUACAAGUCAGACUUGAUCAGAGGCAUAGUUCUGUGUGGCUUAGCAUCUUUAAAUUUACUAUCUUAAACAAUAAAGCUUAUAGUUAUCACAGAUCUCAAAUUUACAGAUUAUGUUAAUUAGGUAUUUUUUUCA